This 253-nucleotide ribosomal RNA is filed under the name uncultured bacterium. RNAcentral describes it as "partial 16S ribosomal RNA". It matches the Rfam family "Bacterial small subunit ribosomal RNA", at positions 524 to 776 of the family's 1533-position model. The record is from RNAcentral.
GACGGAGGGCGCUAGCGUUGUUCGGAAUUACUGGGCGUAAAGGGCGCGUAGGCGGCCGUUUGCGUCGGAUGUGAAAGCCCGGGGCUCAACCCCGGAACGGCAUCCGAUACGGGACGGCUGGAGACCGGGAGAGGAGGGUGGAAUAGCCAGUGUAGAGGUGAAAUUCGUAGAUAUUGGCUGGAACACCGGUGGCGAAAGCGGCUCUCUGGCCCGGUUCUGACGCUGAGGCGCGAAAGCGUGGGGAGCAAACAGG